RNAcentral lists this unclassified non-coding RNA (294 nucleotides) under uncultured Ascomycota. RNAcentral's name for it is "sequence contains ITS1". The stretch from base 1 to 105 matches the Rfam family "5.8S ribosomal RNA", at positions 50 to 154 of the family's 154-position model. The record is from RNAcentral. Lineage: Eukaryota; Fungi; Ascomycota.
GAAAUGCGAUACUUGGUGUGAAUUGCAGAAUCCCGUGAACCAUCGAAUCUUUGAACGCACAUUGCGCCCCCUGGUAUUCCGGGGGGCAUGCCUGUUCGAGCGUCAUUACAACCCUCAAGCUCUGCUUGGUAUUGGGCUCUGCCGGUCCCGGCAGGCCUUAAAAUCAGUGGCGGUGCCAUUCGGCUUCAAGCGUAGUAAUUCUUCUCGCUUUGGAGGCCCGGGUGCGUGCUUGCCAGCAACCCCCAAUUUUUUCAGGUUGACCUCGGAUCAGGUAGGGAUACCCGCUGAACUUAA